Molecule: non-coding RNA, 595 nt
Organism: Benincasa hispida (wax gourd)
Lineage: Eukaryota; Viridiplantae; Streptophyta; Magnoliopsida; Cucurbitales; Cucurbitaceae
Source: RefSeq, a predicted model, not a curated record
AUGAUUUGAUUUCCACAUAAAGUAACAAGUAACUUUUCAAAUUUUCAUAUCUACUUUUUCUUGUUCUCUAUAGUUUCCUUUGAAGGGGAAAACAAAAGGAAAGAUUAUAAAUUAUUAUAGGGAAGUUUGUUCUGAGUUUAUUGUCUGUAGCUUAAUUUUAUAGAUGCUGGACCAGGUCCUUACCCAGUUGCCCCACCUAUGUGUGAUCCAAUGCAACAUGGUCAGACUCAGCCAUACCCUCCAAUUGUACCUCCUCAAGGGGAAACUAGGUCUCAAAUUUUAACUCCUUCAAGUGAAACCAAGUUCAGAGGUGAUGGAUUUUGCAGAGGAUUUUGCGCUGGCUUGUGUUGCUACUGCUGCCUAGAUAUCUGCUUCUAAGAAUGGAGGGACCUCGGAAAGGGCACUUCUAGUUUCUCUGACACAAGUUAUCUUCUAGGUUUCCAUAAACAUGCAGUAGGUUUCUCUGUAAACUACAGUUACCAUCUGAUUUUAGGUUCUGUAUGUGAAGUUUUCUAUGCCCUAUGUUGUUUUGUACAAUAUUACAAUCAGAGUAAGAGAAAUGAACAAAUCCUAAAAAAGAUCACUGUUUUUUCAA